AGGCCCAUUGUUUCUACGCCCCGUAGAAGGCCCAUUGUUUCUACGGCCCUUAGAAGGCCCAUUGAUGAUGCGGGCCGUAGAAGGCCAAUCACUACAAAAAAUAUACACUUCCGUGAUGAUACGUGUUUGUCACAGUAGGUCACGUUUUCUGUCAUGCAUGUACAUCCAUGACAAUUUUCUGACAGAUUCAAGAUAGUCAUACCUGUGCUGUCGUAGAAGUGUUCCAUGACAUUACCAAAAUUAUCAUCACGGAAGUGUCCACUUCCAUGACGAUAAAUCGCGCAUCACAGAAGUGCUUUCGUCAAGGGUGACCAACACGUGGCAUCCACCGUAACGGAAUGCCGUUAAGCUAUCGGGUCCGGUUUUGGAUCCAAUAACCCGUUAACAGCCCCGACAAAUGGGGAUUUUCCACGUGUAACAUCGUCAUUGGCCGGAGGGAACACGUGUCGGCUUGCCGUUGGGACAAAUGUCAUCCACUCAUUGGACCCAAAGUGCCUAUGAUACGUCGACACGUGGCAUGACCCAACAGAGGCCCAUUCCUGUGAAAAGGCCAGCCCAUUUGACUUGGUCAAAAGGUGGCAGGCCGGCCCACGGCAAGCCUGUUAACGACAUGUUCGCAUAUAGCCCCUUUACAGCCUGCUAACCCAGGGCCCGUUUACGACCUAUCCAAAUUAGGCCCAGUAGCGUCAUCUGGGCCGUCCAAUAUAAUUCCAGCCCGUUUUAACUUCCGGCCCAUGUAAGGCCCAUGACGUCUUUCGGCCCAUAUGAGGCCCUUAGUAACCCUCGGCCCAUUAACGGCCCGUGGUAAAACUGGCCCGUAAUGAACAGUGUAUCACUUUAUACCCAUUAAUGGCCCAUUAUUCCGUUGGAUCAUUUCCAGCCCAUGUUAUCUUUCGGCCUUCUCAGGGCCCAUUUAUUCUUGGGCUCAUUUCUAGCAUUCGUUUACUUUUGGCCCGUUACUGUCAUUUUCUGCUUGUGGGCCAAAUUCAGCCCGUGGUUACAGUCGGCCCGUUUGUGUCCCGUUAAUAAGUUGGGCCAUUUUCAUAGCGUCAUCAAAUACGGCCGAUUAACGACGGCCCGUUAUGGUCGGCCCAUAAACGGACGAUUUCAACUCUAGCCCAUUUACGGCCAUAAUGUGGUUUGUUAUUGGCCCAUGUUUGGCCAACCGAUCAUACGGCCCGUAGAAGGCCCAUUGAUGAUACGGCCCAUAGAAGGCCCAUUGUGUCGAUGGCCCGUAUAAGGCCCAUUGUUUCUACGCCCCGUAGAAGGCCCAUUGUUUCUACGGCCUGUAGGAGGCCCAUGUUAACUACAGUAAAUAUCUAGCCCAUGGUUAAUGUGGCCUAGUUUUAAAAAAUAGGUUAUUGCGGCCACUAGCAAACCGCAAAAAAAGAACUGCACUGACUACAAGAAAAAAAAAACAAGACAAUAAGGAUAUAAAUAGGCAAGCAACUUACGCUAGGCUAUCACGGCUAUUACACAUAUUACAUUCACUAGGCAUCAAAGUUCGCCACCAGUGCAAAUAUAGGGAACAAAGAAGCAUAUAAACGCCGCAGCAAAACAAGUCCAGAACUGAAAUCACUUCAGAAGAGCUCAAGAAACAAUAUCCUGGGUACCCAUAAUGCUG
RNAcentral lists this long non-coding RNA (1624 nucleotides) under Triticum aestivum (bread wheat). RNAcentral describes it as "long non-coding RNA (TAES_LNC013382)". Lineage: Eukaryota; Viridiplantae; Streptophyta; Magnoliopsida; Poales; Poaceae. The record is from RNAcentral.